RNAcentral lists this ribosomal RNA (487 nucleotides) under uncultured bacterium. Its description in RNAcentral is "partial 16S ribosomal RNA". It matches the Rfam family "Bacterial small subunit ribosomal RNA", at positions 28 to 507 of the family's 1533-position model. The record is from RNAcentral.
GACGAACGCUGGCGGCGUGCUUAACACAUGCAAGUCGAACGCGCCUGUCCUCUGGGUUUUUGGGGGUGGGCGAGUGGCGAACGGGUGAGUAACUCGUGAGUACCCUGCUCCCUUCUUCGGCUUAACGGUCUGAACGGGUUGCUAAUACCGGGUAUUCACUGGUCUUCGCAUGGGGUCGGGUGGAAAGGUUUUUUAUUGGUGCGGGGCGGGUUCGCGGCCUAUUAGCUUGGUGGUGGGGUGAUGGCGCACCAGGGCUUUGACGUGGAGCCGGCCUGAGGGGGUGACCGGUCACAGAGCGACUGAGAUGCGGCCCAGACUCGUACGGGACGCAGCAGUGGGGAAUAUGGCACAAUGGGUGCAAGACUGAUGCAGCGACGCCGCGGGAGGGAUGCGGGCCUUCGGGUUGUGAACCUCUUGCAACCGGGGUCAAGCCGCGACGAGGGUCGUGGUGAGGGUAGUUGGUAAAGAAGCACCGGCUAACUACGUG